Molecule: unclassified non-coding RNA, 6950 nt
Filed under: Homarus americanus (American lobster)
Lineage: Eukaryota; Metazoa; Arthropoda; Malacostraca; Decapoda; Nephropidae
Description: uncharacterized LOC121872325, transcript variant X1
Source: RNAcentral
CCACUGACCAAGGCCUCCCUAGUCGAGCCACUCAUAACACCUCAUUACCUGGUGUCGGAAAACAGAUUGAGGCAGAGGCCAUGGUGAUGACCAGCUGUUGCCCCUGCAUUUCCACUGCUGCUGCUGCUGCUGCCGCCACCGCUGCUGCUGCUGUUGCUACUGCUGCCAUGAUGAAUUUUAGCCUGCUCGAAAAUACCAUGGAGCCGUAAGAUGAGAGAGAUGCCGAGGAUUGUGUCUUCUGCAUGCGUCUCAUGGGUGUGAUCACGUGCACGUCCCCCAUGAACCCUACAGGCAAUGUCACCUAUACACACAAAAAGUUCAAACGGGCCCAAAUUGAGGCCUGUGACACUGUGGAAAAACAGCAGCUGCAUCAAGAAGAGACUGGAAAGAAUGGGAAGACCGAAACUUUGGCAAUUCCUACAAAAGCCUCGAUAGUAUCAAUAGAAGGAACUCCCUCUCCUAUCAAUGGAAUUUUGUCCUCUCAAACACCAAAUCACAUUUCUGGACAUACUGGUCAUUUUCCUCUGGAAUCUGAUGAUGGUAAGAAAAAGAAUAGUGGUAACAAUGGUGGGAAGUACAAAUGUAAGUAUUGUGGAGUGGGAUGUGCCAAGCCCUCAGUGUUGGAUAAACACAUCCGCACACACACCAAUGAGCGGCCUUAUAGCUGCGACCAAUGUUGUGUAGCCUUUAAAACCAAAAGCAACUACUUGAAGCACACUAGAUCCCGAGCUCAUGCCCUUAGAUGUGAUGGUGGGUUACAAGAAGGCAGUGAUGGAACAAUAGAAUCUAGUGACAACCUCGAUGUUGAUGGAGAUGAAGGCUCUAGAUGCCCCAGUCGAGAAGAUGGCCAACAGUGCCAACCUGCUGACUUUACUGUGGCUCAUAUGUCUGCUAGGGAUCAACAGGUUGAUUAUACAAGCACAUCAGAGGCCACAAGGUUAUAUCAUGAAGAGUCUGGGAAAGAUCGAGGAAAUUUUAUAUACAAACCUAAAUUUCGUGUCCGUGCUCAGUAUUCCCUUCAGGAAGAAAGUAUAUCUAAGGGACUCUCACCGCCCAUCCAAAGACAGCAGUCAACCCCACCUCAGGAUGUCACUACAUUUGACAGUAAUACCAUCAACUCAUCAACAUAUCAGAUCCAUGCUGCCUCCAAUCCCAACCAUCCCAGUCAAGGUGCUCACUCCAGUCCCAGUUCUCAUUCCCCAGGCCCUGCCAAUGCCUCCAAGCAGUGCUUUCCUCCAAUUGAAAUUCGGGCUGGAAAUAGAAAAGAUGAAGGAACAAUGUCUGGUCAGCGUAACUCUGUAGUAAUCUCUCAGACUACAAGCCCACUUUGGAAAGGUAUGAAGUCUCCAAGUCCAGAGUUAGUAGGACAACAUAUCACUAAACUGAUUGUUGAAAACCAAGCCAUUGUGGAGACCCACAAUCCACUGUGGUCACGACGUUACCGGCGUCAAUCCAGUCUUGGCUCUUCAUCAAGUGAGAGUGAUGGGUCAGGCAGUGGUAAAAGUCGGAGAUAUAGUCUUGCAGAUACAGGCAUAAAAAAUUCUAAACCUACUACUACUGGUCCCCCUCCUGCAGGUUCAGGUCCUACACAGCCCCUUCCUCGAGAACGAAGGCAUUCCAUCAAUGCUGAGGCUAUAAUGGUUGAACCACAGUCUUCGUACAGCCCCAGUCUUCCACCCAACCCACACCUGCCUCUUGCUCAGCCCACAGUCACCCCCAUCAGUGCUUCCAAACCUUCCAUAUCAUCACAAGGACUUACUACCUCUUAUUCUCAGCCUGCACCUGCCUUCACUGCCUCUCAUGUGACUAUGGUGGACUUCAGUUUGACAGAUGGAGCACGCAAGAGGUGCAUCUCUGAGGGCCCCAGUGUUGUGCGAGACUUGUCCAAAAGUCGAGUAAUGCCACAUGAUGAUCCAGCUCUUCUGCGUCAGCAUCCACAAAAUCCGGAGGGCUCUGUUAUAAAAAACCUUCUUUUAACUGCUCGUGCUGGUAUUACUGGUGCCAUUGAUUUAAACCUAGAGAGACAAGAGCGUGCAAGGAUUGCCAAUCAAGUCGUUUCCCAUGGGGAAAUUGGACCAUACACAUGUUUGCGAUGCAGAAUCCCUUGUCGAAGUCCUGAGGAAUUAGAAAUUCAUAUCCGACAUUACUGUGGACAGAGACCAGGAAGUGAAAGAGGUACCCCAGAUUCUACUAAAAGUGGUGAUGGGGGAAGAUGGCCUGGAGAGCAAGAUGUAGCUUUAGAUCUACAAAAAAAGCCUGAGUACAUGGACCAACAUGACCGUGAGCGUUCAUCAUCAAGAGGAUCAUCAACUGGGGAAACUAUACAUAGGCGAGGCUCAGAGGAAGAUUCAAGAUAUCAUUUAGAUAUGUCACCAAAGGUAUAUAGAAGUAAAUCAGCUCCAGAUGGGUCUUUACCGCCUACAAAGAAAAGAAAAAUGUCUGACAUUGAGAUCACGUCACACGAUAGAUCAAUGUUUCUUUCACCAAAUUUUUCUUCUAAGGGGCAAGGAGGAAUGAAGUCUGAAUCUGGGCUAAAGAUUAUGGAUGAUAUGAACAAACAAAAUAAACUCAAUAACCACCAACUGUUUGGUGGUGAGGUUCAAAUCUGUGAUGGUAAUGAGUUGAAAACCAUGAGAAUAGACCCCAGCCAGCAAUCAAGCCCAGGUUUAGAUAUCUGCAUUCCACCACAACAGUUGGGAGGCAGAGUAUCAAAGCCAGAAGUGUCUGCCCCAACUUCAGUGGUGAUGACCAUUGCCAAGUCUGGCCUCAACUCUGGGGGAACAAUGGUCCAGGUAGAAAACCAAAUCAGCACAUCUUCUACCAAAACUGUUCCAAGCGUAGUGAGCUCAUCAAUGAAUCGUGAACAGUCUGUUCUUUUACAAAAUGUACCAAAGGCAGCUCAUCCCCCAAAUAUGUACAAUGAAGCUAACCAGUUUGCAUUUUCUCCUUCAUUUCUACAGUAUGCACCUCACCUUCAGCUUCCCAACUUGGCCAUCCCUGGGAUUCCUACUCCAGACUUAGGGGGUUUAUCAUUUUCAACUUAUCCUCCUCGCAUCCCUGGUCAAACAUUUCUUCAUGGACAGACUUCCCUUAUGCAGGGGAUUUUAGGAAAUCACAAACAAAACACUGUUAGAUCCCCAGUAGUUUCAUCUAGGGUCUCCCCUGGUGGCUUUGCAGUGAGUGCAGCAGGAGGUUCGUCAGGUUCAUCCAGUGUUAUGCAUGGAGGUUCAAAUGAUAUUCGUAUAGGAGACAGCACUGGAGCACCAAAAAACCUUUUAGUUAAAGACAAGGAGAAAGAGCACCAGAAAACUCCCAGUAAGUUACCCCCUGCUGGCUAUCCUGCUCUUAUACCUGUUGGAGAUGAAAAGGUGCCAUAUGUCCCUGGGAUCCCAGGACCUUAUUCACAAGGCAGUGUGUUGCAGUCUCACCCUCCUACUGCUCAGAGAAGUCCCAUGACGGCUUUCACUCCUGUUACAUCAUCUAUAACCUCAAGUGCACCUCUCACAUCAAUUCCAUCACUUCCAGCAUUAAUGAGUACUGCUAGGGAGAAAAACCUCACAAUACCAAAAUACAGAGAGGCAACCAGAGAACCUCCAAGAAGUCCCGUGAGGGAGCACAGUCAGUCCUUAAAUGUGGUAAAACUCCCUCAUCGUUUAUCACCAAGAAUGUCUUCAGUCAUCGGUAAAGUUCCUGAACGAACAGUUAAUCCAGAAAUAAGAAUUCAUCCGGCGAAACCGGAGUCAGUAAGUCAAGAAAAGAAAACCUCUGAAAAGUUUUUGGUUCCGGUUGAAGAAUCAAACUAUGAAAACUGUUCCAAGGAGGAAUCUUCUGACUCAGAAGACUUCCUUCCACCACGGAAACGGCCAGAUUUCCUGGCCCUGAAGCCUCAACAAUUUAUGCCCAAAUCUUCUCUUGCCUUGAUUGGUACAACUUUAGUUAGCCCUGAUACUCCACGACCCAAAAAAAGUUGUGUACAGAUGCUGUUAAAUGGGUCAGCUUAUACUUAUUUAGGGCACAAAGUUUCUACAAAGUCUUAUUUUUGUUGUAUCUACAGACAGCAGCCCAUGUAUGUACCCCAAUCAACUGAUCCUAAGCUAUCUAUGUAUUCUAACUGGCAGAUUAGAAAACCAGCGGAAGACAAUCCUUUCAAGUUAACACCGUAUCAGGGAAUGGGAUUAUAUGAAUCGCGGAAGUAUGAUCGUGCAUAUACUAUUGCAAAACCCAAAGAAUUAAAUUUAAUUCAAACUCAUUCAUCAUAUUGGACGUUUAAGGAAGAAAAAGAAAAGAAUAAGGAAAAGGAAGACAUUGUGAAGGAUGAAGAGAAAAUGGAUAUUAAAAGCGAAGAGUCGUGUACAAAAGUGUCUGAACAAAGUGUCUCAGAAGGAAGUGGAUCAAUAAAACGAGAGUCUGAGGACGAUAGUCGAGACUCUUAUAAGACGAAUGAUGAGGCAGGGAGAUCAGAUAGUGGCUCAGUCAAGCGUGUAAAAAUUUUUGAAGGAGGUUUCAAGAGCAGUGAAGACUACACAUAUGUCAGGGGUCGUGGCCGAGGGAACUACGUGUGUGAAACUUGUGGAAUUCGCUGUAAGAAACCAUCUAUGUUAAAGAAGCACAUCCGUACACACACAGAUCUCCGCCCAUAUGCUUGUGGUCACUGUACUUUCAGUUUCAAGACGAAGGGAAACCUGACAAAACACCUAAGAUCAAAGGCUCAUUACAAGCGGUGUGUGGAGAUGGGCAUUGAUCCCGUCCCUACUGUGGUUGAUGAAAGUCACGUCAAUGAAGAAGCUCUCGCUUUGCAGGGGAAGAUGGAACAAGAAGACAGACUUGACAACAUUGAUUGUGAUGAUGAUGAUGAUGAAGAUGACGAUGAUGAUGAUGAUGAUGAUGAUGAAGAGGAUGAUGAUGACCCAAUGGGUGAAAACCAAGUUGAAGAUGCACUUAGUAUACAAAACCAGCAUAGGGAUAGUGGUUAUCAGGAAAGAGAAAACAAAAAGGUUGAAGUAACAGAGGAAUUGAAAGAUUGCCACCCUGAGCCUGUUGCUGCAGUAUCACGGUCUGGUGUAUUAGUCAUGCAACCAACGAGUCGUAACUGUUCUGGUAGUCCAAAGGAAGUUACGGUUCAGAAAGUUACCAAUAAUGUAGAGUCAUCACGAGAUUCACCCAUGGAUUUAAGUGUUAAGAAAACAAUGGCUGUAAAUUUUAUCACUGUAAUAGACAAAACUUCCACACCAAAAAAAUCAAUUCCCAGAAGACCAAGUUUUUUACCACUAAUGAGCACUGGGAGUAAGCCAUCUAUUACAGACCUCAGAUCUCCAGUUGGCAGUUUGGCAUCUCCUGGCACUCAAUCAACACCCAUCAGGGAACACCCUUCAGAAAUUUUGUCACCGGUGACAGAAUCGUCAACCCUUCUUAAGACAAUUUAUAAUACAACUGAGAGAGCCUCGCAUGUUUCCUUUGAGAAGCAAAGUAUUGUUCCUGACCCAACAAAGGAAAAUGGUUGCAGUAGUUCAAUGUUGCAAGCAUACCUAAAAGAGCGUGCUAUGUUAGACACUACAAUAAAGAGACAACAGUAUAAAGACUCGUCCUCAGAUACUUCACCAGAUUCUCCACAUAGUAGUUUAGCAUCUGCAUCUAUUUCAUCAGGAUCAAGUGCAGUAGAGAGUGUUGAAACAUUAAGCAAGCCAGAAAGUACAAGUGAUGGUGAAAAAUCAGAAAAAGAAAGUAAAAAAGAAGGAAAACAAGAAGAUGCUUCUGGUGGCAUUAGUGAUGAACAGAGUCCUCUUUCAAUGCCAUCUUCUUCAGGCAGUUGCAGCACCAUCACCUCCAGUGCCCUUCAGUCUACCACUUCACGAAUGCCAACACCACCCGCUAACCUGACUGUAAUGAACAGUGGCGGCAUGGACACCAAAACUUCCUUCCUUGUGCCCAGUGGAGUUGUUCCCUCUUCUCUCAACAGGCUGGGGAAUGAUGAUGGCAAGUGUAAAUGCAGCAUAUGCCACAAAGAGUUCAAUCGGCAGGCGCAGCUGAGCCUCCACAUGAACAUCCACUACAUGGAAAGGCCAUAUCGGUGUGACUCUUGUGCAGUAUCAUUCAGAACUAAUGGUCACCUCCAGAAGCAUAAACGAUCUGUUAGUCAUUUUAAUAAGGUGAACAUGAAUAUGACUUUUGGAACACCAAGUACAGACAAUCCACGCCCCUUUAAGUGUCAUGAUUGCAAAAUUGCUUUCCGAAUUCAUGGCCAUCUAGCAAAACAUCUGCGUUCAAAGAUGCAUAUAAUGAAGCUAGAGUGCCUUGGAAAACUUCCCUUCGGUACUUAUGCUGAAAUUGAACGAUCUGGUGCUAAUCUAAAUGAAAUUGAUACCACAGAUUGUGAUAACUCCUUGGAAAGCUUGCAGGCCAUGGCAUCACGCUUGUAUGAAAAGGAUCCAAGUAAAUUAUCAGCCUGGCAGAAUCAACAGGAGGGGCAUCAUCACCGAGUGCGCACCGUCAGCAAUUCAUCAACAAACUCCGAUGACUACCCAUUACAAGAUGAGCAAGAUGAUGCUCUCGCUGGGUGUGUCAAUGAUGAUGAUAUAGAAGGGGAUGAAGAUGAAGACAUACCAGUGCCUCGGGAUGCUGGGAGACUUGGGUUUUCUGGAGCUGUGGUUGGAACAGGACAUCGUGAACUGCACAGUCCACACUCGCACACGCUUUCAUCUCCAAUUGAAAUUGGCUCAGCCUCCUGGCAUGCCACCUAUGUCAUGAGAAGUUCCUUGAUCUAGAGCACCUUAGUGGUCACCUGUACAGCGUACACAAGGUGUCUGUCACUUACCGCAACAGCUAACCAAGCCCAUGAUGCAGCCAUAUACAUGUGGACUAUGUGAGGCCAAGUUUUCAAGCCACAGUCAACUGAUAAGCCACAGCCAACACCACCUCCCACCCUCUGGCAUGAUGAGUCUCAAAUCCUCUUG